Lolium perenne is the source of this 528-nucleotide non-coding RNA. Lineage: Eukaryota; Viridiplantae; Streptophyta; Magnoliopsida; Poales; Poaceae. The record is from RefSeq and is a predicted model, not a curated record.
GUCGAACACCCUCCGCGCCGCACAGACAAGCUUCGCCACGUCAUCCGCCACCUCGACCUCCCGGCCCCACCUGUCAGCGCCUCGGGCUAGAUCCCGCGUUGCAUUUGCUUCUUCCCGGAUAGGAUCACGAAGUGGUGUUGUGAGAUACGACAAGUUUUUCUGCAGCUUUUCACAGGCGAGCCCUCUCUCUUCACCUAUUACACACUCUCCCUCGCAUUGCUAUCCUUAUGUUGCGCUUCUUUAUCGAGUCACGUGUCCUAUUCCACUUGUUUACCCUAAUAAUCCUAUAUGCAUCAUUCCUUACCCAUAGCCGUUGCUUGAUGUUUGAGCCUUGCGAGUCGUAGGCGUGUUUAGGUUCUGUUGUUUAUCUCGAUCUGUUAUCGGGAUAUGUUGGGUUGUUGGGAGGUUAUCACAUGCUAUAUCAAUUGUUGGAGAUAUUCAUGCUUUACUUUAUUGUUAACAACUAAAAUUGUAAGCAGAGGCAUCUGUGAGCCCCUUUGCGAAAGCAUCGGAACUUUGACUUGCUAA